Carassius auratus (goldfish) is the source of this 1687-nucleotide long non-coding RNA. RefSeq lists it as uncharacterized. The transcript is spliced from 3 exons. The record is from RefSeq and is a predicted model, not a curated record. Lineage: Eukaryota; Metazoa; Chordata; Actinopteri; Cypriniformes; Cyprinidae.
UGUUACAAUUUUAGCUUGGUCAUUUACAGCUGUGAAUCCCGGAAAGAUCCCUGUCCUACAGGAAAAAAAAAAAAAAAAAAAAAAACAUCUCUACUAUAGGAGAGGAAGAGUUGUAUAAACUCAUUAAAUUAAAUAAUUUAAACUAACAACAUUUACUGUGUGUUAGACUCUAUUCCAUCUAACCUCCUAAAAGCAGUGCUUCUAGAAGUCAUAGAUUCUCUUCUGACAAUUACAUUAUAUGAAUGAGCGGAUUUGAUCCUGGCCUGGUGUCGCUACCCUCGCAUGUGAAUUGUUGAAUGAUAAAUGUGACUCAAUAUACAUCAAGGGCUCUACUGGACAUAAUAUUUGCUACCGCAGUCAUUUACACUGCUUUCGCAAUUAGCACACCUGUUAUGUCUGCAUUUGAGUGUCUGGUGAUGAAAAUAAUGCCAAUGCUCCUGUGCUUCCCCCCAAAGUCAAUUUGUGACCAGACACUGCUGCCUCGGAAGGAUUGUGAGUGGACAAAGCCGCCUCGAGUGAACUGUGAGUGGACACCGCCGCCUCUGGGGAACUGUGAGUGGACACUGCCUCGGAGGUAUCAUCAGCGAGCACUGCAGCUUUGUGAAAGCCUGAAGCGAGCCCCGCUGCCUUGGAGUGAUCACCAGCAGGCUCAGUCACUUCGUGAAGGCCAGAAGUGAGCCCUUCUGCCUCGGAGAGAUCAUCAGUGGGCUCCGCCGCUUCAUGAAGGCCUGAAGCAAGCCGUGCUGCCUCAGAAAGAUCAUCAGCAGGCUCCGCCGCUUUGUGAAGGCCGGAAGCGAGCCCUGCCACCCCUGCCAUCUCGGAGGAACAUCAGUGCCCACCGCCCCACUGCCUUGGGAGCAUUAUAAAUAGGCACCCCCACUCUGACGGCUAAGCCACUCAACUGCAGAGCCAAGAUCGAUUGGCUGAGCCUCAUGGGAGGCAACACACCUGGAGAGUCGGUCAGAAGAUUGCUAAGGAAACUCGGGACGAAUGCUCUAUUGGCCCAAUAUAGUCUUAAAGGCUGCAAGGGAAAGAAGAAUUUCCAGGAACUGGAAAUAUGUUAUGUCAUAAUCCUUGAGUUGUUUCUCAGUUGUUUCUUAUGCUUAACAUUUUAUAUUAAGUCGCAGAAGAUAAACUUUAUUUUCAGAGCAAGCUAGGCCAAAGACUGCAUAUGAGUCAUUGAGGAAAUGAGAAGUGUAUUUGACAUACUUUAUGCUUAAUCAUCAUUUAUUGUAAGUAGCAGUAACAUGUGUGGUUUUUGUGUAUCUUAACUGGAUUUUAAGAUGCCUGUCGUCGAACACACACCAAGGUGCUGGAAAAAGUAAUUGAGGACUUCAUAUCAGAAACACUGAAGUUUGCACCACACAGAGAUAAGAUGCUGCAAUCUAAGGUGUCACUUCAGGCCGAAGCAGAGACUUCGGGAAAAGAAGACACACAGAUCACACUUAAUUAGUUGUUUUACACACAGAACGUAUUUUAUGUAAGAUUUGGAAUGUUUCAGUUUGUGGAAUGUUUGAGUAUAUAAAAUGUGAAAGUUAAGAUAUCAGUAAUGCCAUUUUUUUUUUCAUUUAAAUGUACUGUACUUUACAGUAUACUUAAAGUAUCCUUGGCAAAAUGUAGACAAGUACAAUAUGAAUGAAAAUUAUAAAAUAUAUUAAAAUAUGAAAAAUGUUUGUGUAGUGUAUUU